GGUUAUGGCGAGUUCCAUCAGUUCUAGACCCCAGAGCUGGGCUGCGGCCGCGGCUGCGCAGAGGGAGAGAACUCAAUGGCGUUUUGCCUCCUUUCUCUCCCCUCCCUCUUCUCUUGAAGGCUCCGAGAGGGGCACUGUCAAGUUGACGCCAUCUGCUGGCAGGACGCGGAUUAUCGUCAAAGCCGGCGGCCUUUCAGUCCUUAGCCAGGGACCCCGAACUUGCAGUUGCUUGGUGGCUCCUUCUCUACUCACCAUUUGCUGGGGUUGGGGUACAUGAUGUAAGGAGGGUUGUUACAUCAAUGGAUCACAUAUGCCAAUGAUGUCAAACUCAGAAACAGAGACUCUAAAUCUUACAUAAGGAUUCUUGUGGGCGGGGGCGGAGCCAAGAUGGCGGAGAAGUCACACGCGACUUUCUAAGCUCUUCUCUUACCCUCUUUAUCAAUAUUAUAUCGAGCCUCAAAAAUAGUCUUG
Molecule: long non-coding RNA, 471 nt
Filed under: Sarcophilus harrisii (Tasmanian devil)
Lineage: Eukaryota; Metazoa; Chordata; Mammalia; Dasyuromorphia; Dasyuridae
Description: lncRNA (ENSSHAG00000022679.1)
Source: RNAcentral